The sequence is a ribosomal RNA, 1106 nucleotides long. It matches the Rfam family "Bacterial small subunit ribosomal RNA", at positions 343 to 1460 of the family's 1533-position model.
GGGAGGCAGCANUGGGAAUAUUGCACAAUGGCGCAAGCCUGAUGAAGGGACGCCGCGUGAGGGAUGACGGCCUUCGGGUUGUAACCUCUUUCAGUAGGGAAGAAGCGAAAGUGACGGUACCUGCAGAAGAAGCACCGGCUAAUUACGUGCCAGCAGCCGCGGUAAUACGUAGGGUGCGAGCGUUAUCCGGAAUUAUUGGGCGUAAAGAGCUCGUAGGCGGUUUGUCGCGUCUGUCGUGAAAGUCCGGGGCUUAACCCCGGAUCUGCGGUGGGUACGGGCAGACUAGAGUGCAGUAGGGGAGACUGGAAUUCCUGGUGUAGCGGUGGAAUGCGCAGAUAUCAGGAGGAACACCGAUGGCGAAGGCAGGUCUCUGGGCUGUAACUGACGCUGAGGAGCGAAAGCAUGGGGAGCGAACAGGAUUAGAUACCCUGGUAGUCCAUGCCGUAAACGUUGGGCACUAGGUGUGGGGACCAUUCCACGGUUUCCGCGCCGCAGCUAACGCAUUAAGUGCCCCGCCUGGGGAGUACGGCCGCAAGGCUAAAACUCAAAGGAAUUGACGGGGGCCCGCACAAGCGGCGGAGCAUGCGGAUUAAUUCGAUGCAACGCGAAGAACCUUACCAAGGCUUGACAUGUUCUCGAUCGCCGUAGAGAUACGGUUUCCCCUUUGGGGCGGGUUCACAGGUGGUGCAUGGUUGUCGUCAGCUCGUGUCGUGAGAUGUUGGGUUAAGUCCCGCAACGAGCGCAACCCUCGUUCCAUGUUGCCAGCACGUAAUGGUGGGGACUCAUGGGAGACUGCCGGGGUCAACUCGGAGGAAGGUGAGGACGACGUCAAAUCAUCAUGCCCCUUAUGUCUUGGGCUUCACGCAUGCUACAAUGGCCGGUACAAUGGGUUGCGAUACUGUGAGGUGGAGCUAAUCCCAAAAAGCCGGUCUCAGUUCGGAUUGGGGUCUGCAACUCGACCCCAUGAAGUCGGAGUCGCUAGUAAUCGCAGAUCAGCAACGCUGCGGUGAAUACGUUCCCGGGCCUUGUACACACCGCCCGUCAAGUCACGAAAGUCGGUAACACCCGAAGCCGGUGGCCUAACCCUUGUGGGGGGAGCCGUCGAA